This is a long non-coding RNA of Felis catus (domestic cat), 546 nucleotides long. RefSeq lists it as uncharacterized. The transcript has 3 exons. The record is from RefSeq and is a predicted model, not a curated record. Lineage: Eukaryota; Metazoa; Chordata; Mammalia; Carnivora; Felidae.
UCACGAACCGGGAGAUCAUGACCUCGGCCAAGGACAGACGGUUAACCUAAUGAGCCACCCAGCAUCACCUUCAUCCAAAGAUGACUCCUAAUUAAGGUCUCAGUACUUCCCAGUAUUUCUGCAGCUACAUAUCCAGGAAAAGAGAAGUUGGGUCUCUUCUAGAAACACUCAGAAGGAUAGAAUGAAGAGGAAAUGGCUGAGUGGAGGUGAGAAUGAAGAAACAUGGAGACAAAUGGACUUGUAGCUGUAAAGAACAGAUGGCUGCAGAGGAAACAAGUGUGCAGUUCAACUCCAUUUCCUUAUCCUCUCAACUUGGCCUUAUUUCAUCAGGCUAUGUUUCCUUGAUAUUUUUUACAGAAAGCAAAAUUUUUAAUACCAAAUGUUCUUCUCCUUCCUAUACCAAGUAUUUUUAGGAAGUAUUUUCCUACUGUAACCUGAAUGCCAUAUUUACCUUCACUUAUUUUGCAGAUUUUUUUUAUAGACACCACAUUCUUUCCUGGUUUUGUUUACUCACUUUUAUUAAAGUAGAAAUAUACACAGCCCUAA